This 497-nucleotide ribosomal RNA is filed under the name uncultured bacterium. RNAcentral describes it as "partial 16S ribosomal RNA". It matches the Rfam family "Bacterial small subunit ribosomal RNA", at positions 28 to 507 of the family's 1533-position model. The record is from RNAcentral.
GAUGAACGCUGGCGGCGUGCCUAAUACAUGCAAGUCGAGCGAACGGACGAGAAGCUUGCUUCUCUGAUGUUAGCGGCGGACGGGUGAGUAACACGUGGAUAACCUACCUAUAAGACUGGGAUAACUUCGGGAAACCGGAGCUAAUACCGGAUAAUAUUUUGAACCGCAUGGUUCAAAAGUGAAAGACGGUCUUGCUGUCACUUAUAGAUGGAUCCGCGCUGCAUUAGCUAGUUGGUAAGGUAACGGCUUACCAAGGCAACGAUGCAUAGCCGACCUGAGAGGGUGAUAGGCCACAAUGGAACGUAGAAACGGUUCAGACUCCUAAGGGAGGAAGCAGUAGGGAAUCUUCCGCAAUGGGCGAAAGCCUGACGGCGCAAAGCAGCGUGAGUGAUGAAGGGGUUCGGAUCGUAAAACUCUGUUAUUAGGGAAGAACAUAUGUGUAAGUAACUGUGCACAUCUUGACGGUACCUAAUCAGAACGCCACGGCUAGCUACGUG